UAGUAAGACCCCUUGAAGACGACGAGGUUGAUAGGCUGGGGGUGGAAGUGCAGCAAUGCAUGGAGCUGACCAGUACUAAUCGGUCGAGGGCUUAUCCAA
Molecule: ribosomal RNA, 99 nt
Filed under: Paenibacillus sp. CGMCC 1.18879
Lineage: Bacteria; Bacillati; Bacillota; Bacilli; Caryophanales; Paenibacillaceae
Description: partial 23S ribosomal RNA
Rfam family: Bacterial large subunit ribosomal RNA
Source: RNAcentral